GCGGUGGUGCCGUUCCCGUGUCCCCCGGUGUCUCUGCUCCGGUCGCCGCUGUGGCGGGGCUGCCCCGUCCGCGUUGGCGGGCUUCUCGAGGCCAUCGGCCAGAGAAAAGGGGGUCGAGGCGGUGAGAGAGAGGGCGGCGGCGGCGAAGGCCGCCUGCCGCUUCUUGACGGCCGUGUCGCGGGUGCGACUCGGUCCUUGGGGCGUGUCGAGCGAUCGUGGCGGGCCGUGGGCCGUUCUGCCGUGCCACCCGGCGGACUGAGCGGAAAACGUGAGGUCGCCCCGGCCUCUGACCGCGAGUGCUCGACGUGUGCCCCGUGCUUACCUAUACCGCAGACCCCCCUCGCCUGGCCACUCCCGCGGACGGAUCCCGCCUCUGCGGACCGACGGGGGCCGGUGGGCCGGGUUCGGUCCACCCUCAGUGAGCAAAGUUUCUUCUCUAGCGAUCCGAGCGGGGCGUGCUUUGCGAAGAGGUGGGGAGGUGCCCGCCUCCCCCCCGCGUCUGCCCGCCCGCCUACGUUCUCGCUGCGCGAAAGUCAGCCGUCCGACGCGUCUGUCCCGAUCCGAUGCGUGCCCGCGCCUCCCCCCUCCGAGCUGGGGGAGGGUCCCGCGGGGGGUCCCGGCCGGUGUCCGGCUCUCUCGGGGCCUGCCCGCGAGCGUGCGCCGAGGUCUCGCUCCGCUGGCGCGUGGUGUGUCCGGUGGGGGGGUGUGUUGGGGGUCGGUGGUGUGGCGGACGUCCCGGUCGGUCCCGCCCCUCCCCUCACCCUCCCGUCGCCGUCGCCGCCGCCGCUGCUGCCGCCGCCGCCGCCGCGACGGUGGGUGCCCGUCCCCCGGAGGAAGGGGGCCGUACGCGUGUGGGUUCUCUCGAGCGAGGCCGCCGAGGCGGUCGUCCUCCCCGGCGUGCGGACGUCGGCGGAGUCGCGCGUGGGAGUCCCCGUCGACGGGGCUGGUGGACGCGGGUGUUCUCUCCUCGCGGGAGGAGGUGACUCCUCCCGUGGGGGGUGCUCUUCGGACUCCGCCGGCUCCGGCUUCCGGGCGUCGCGGGCGAUGGCGGGACCGCCCCCGUGGGGGGGCGGUGGGAUCCCGCCUGGUUUCCCCGGCGGCCCCGGGCCGUGCGCUCCGCGGGUCUCUCCCCGUCCGCUUC
Molecule: long non-coding RNA, 1141 nt
Filed under: Castor canadensis (American beaver)
Lineage: Eukaryota; Metazoa; Chordata; Mammalia; Rodentia; Castoridae
Description: lncRNA (ENSCCNG00000012102.1)
Rfam family: mir-663 microRNA precursor family (bases 1026-1110)
Source: RNAcentral